Molecule: ribosomal RNA, 440 nt
Filed under: uncultured Oscillospiraceae bacterium
Lineage: Bacteria; Bacillati; Bacillota; Clostridia; Eubacteriales; Oscillospiraceae
Description: bacterial SSU rRNA
Rfam family: Bacterial small subunit ribosomal RNA
Source: RNAcentral
CCUACGGGAGGCUGCAGUGGGGAAUUUUGGGCAAUGGGGGCAACCCUGACCCAGCGACGCCGCGUGAAGGACGAAGGCCUUCGGGUUGUAAACUUCUUUGGGGAGGGACGAAACUGACGGUACCUCCAGAACAAGCCACGGCUAACUACGUGCCAGCAGCCGCGGUAAUACGUAGGUGGCAAGCGUUAUCCGGAUUUACUGGGUGUAAAGGGCGCGCAGGCGGCCUCGCAAGUCAGAUGUGAAAGCUCAAGGCUUAACCUUGGAAUGUCAUCUGAAACUGCGGGACUUGAGUAUCAGAGGGGAAAGUGGAAUUCCUGGUGGAGCGGUAAAAUGCGCAGAGAUCAGGAGGAACACCGGUGGCGAAGGCGACUUUCUGGCUGACAACUGACGCUGAGGCGCGAAAGCGUGGGGAGCAAACAGGAUUAGAUACCCGUGUAGUC